RNAcentral lists this ribosomal RNA (435 nucleotides) under uncultured bacterium. Its description in RNAcentral is "partial 16S ribosomal RNA". It matches the Rfam family "Bacterial small subunit ribosomal RNA", at positions 28 to 507 of the family's 1533-position model. The record is from RNAcentral.
GAUGAACGCUGGCGGUAUGCUUAACACAUGCAAGUCGAACGGACUCUUCGGAGUUAGUGGCGGACGGGUGAGUAACGCGUGAGAAUCUGGCUUUGGGUUCGGGACAACCACUGGAAACGGUGGCUAAUACCGGAUGUGCCGAGAGGUAAAAGAGAAAUUGCCUGAAGAUGAGCUCGCGUCUGAUUAGCUAGUUGGUGAGGUAAAGGCUCACCAAGGCAGCGAUCAGUAGCUGGUCUGAGAGGAUGACCAGCCACACUGGGACUGAGACACGGCCCAGACGACUACGGGGGGCAGCAGUGGGGAAUUUUCCGCAAUGGGCGAAAGCCUGACGGAGCAAUACCGCGUGAGGGAAGAAGGCUCUUGGGUUGUAAACCUCUUUUCUUAGGGAAGAACAAAAUGACGGUACCUAAGGAAUCAGCAUCGGCUAACUCCGUG